Molecule: ribosomal RNA, 422 nt
Filed under: uncultured bacterium
Lineage: Bacteria
Description: bacterial SSU rRNA
Rfam family: Bacterial small subunit ribosomal RNA
Source: RNAcentral
UAAGGAAUAUUGGACAAUGGACGCAAGUCUGAUCCAGCCAUGCCGCGUGAAGGAUGAAUGCCCUCUGGGUUGUAAACUUCUUUUAUAGGGGAAGAAAGAUACUUUUUUUAAGGUAGUUGACGGUACCCUAUGAAUAAGCACCGGCUAACUCCGUGCCAGCAGCCGCGGUAAUACGGAGGGUGCAAGCGUUAUCCGGAUUUACUGGGUUUAAAGGGUGCGUAGGCGGGCAUGUAAGUCAGUGGUGAAAUACCGGAGCUUAACUUCGGAACUGCCAUUGNUACUAUAUGUCUUGAAUAUUGUGGAGGUAAGCGGAAUAUGUCAUGUAGCGGUGAAAUGCAUAGAUAUGACAUAGAACACCGAUUGCGGAGGCAGCUUGCUACGCAAAUAUUGACGCUGAGGCACGAAAGCGUGGGGAUCAAACA